RNAcentral lists this transfer RNA (72 nucleotides) under Bos taurus (domestic cattle). It matches the Rfam family "tRNA". From Rfam's summary of the family: Transfer RNA (tRNA) molecules are approximately 80 nucleotides in length. Their secondary structure includes four short double-helical elements and three loops (D, anti-codon, and T loops). Further hydrogen bonds mediate the characteristic L-shaped molecular structure. tRNAs have two regions of fundamental functional importance: the anti-codon, which is responsible for specific mRNA codon recognition, and the 3' end, to which the tRNAs corresponding amino acid is attached (by aminoacyl-tRNA synthetases). tRNAs cope with the degeneracy of the genetic code in two manners: having more than one tRNA (with a specific anti-codon) for a particular amino acid; and 'wobble' base-pairing, i.e. permitting non-standard base-pairing at the 3rd anti-codon position. Lineage: Eukaryota; Metazoa; Chordata; Mammalia; Artiodactyla; Bovidae. RNAcentral also lists the same sequence under 3 other names. The record is from Rfam by way of RNAcentral.
UCCCUGGUGGCUCAGAUGGUAAAGAAUCUGCCUGCAGUGCUGUAGACCCAGGUUCGAUUCCUGGUUCAGGAU